GGGCGGCUGGCGCAGUGGUAGCGCGCUUCGUUCACACCGAAGAGGUCCCCAGUUCGAACCUGGGGUCGCCCA
Molecule: transfer RNA, 72 nt
Filed under: Propionibacteriaceae bacterium
Lineage: Bacteria; Bacillati; Actinomycetota; Actinomycetes; Propionibacteriales; Propionibacteriaceae
Description: tRNA-Val
Rfam family: tRNA
About the family: Transfer RNA (tRNA) molecules are approximately 80 nucleotides in length. Their secondary structure includes four short double-helical elements and three loops (D, anti-codon, and T loops). Further hydrogen bonds mediate the characteristic L-shaped molecular structure. tRNAs have two regions of fundamental functional importance: the anti-codon, which is responsible for specific mRNA codon recognition, and the 3' end, to which the tRNAs corresponding amino acid is attached (by aminoacyl-tRNA synthetases). tRNAs cope with the degeneracy of the genetic code in two manners: having more than one tRNA (with a specific anti-codon) for a particular amino acid; and 'wobble' base-pairing, i.e. permitting non-standard base-pairing at the 3rd anti-codon position.
Source: RNAcentral